UGGCAAUAUUAACUGUUUCAUAAAUAUUUUAAUUAAAAUUUUAUUUUUUAGUCAAAAAGCUAAAAUAAUUUUAAAAGACGAGAAGACCCUAUAAAUCUUUAUAAUUUAAUUAUUAAAAAUUUAUAGAAUUAUUUUGUUAUAAUAAUGAGUAUUAUUUUAUUGGGGUGAUAUUAAAAUUUAAUUAACUUUUAAUUUAUAAAUUCAUUAAUUUAUGAAAAUUUGAUCCAUUAUUAAUGAUUAAAAAAAUAAGUUACUUUAGGGAUAACAGCGUAAUUUUUUUGGAGAGUUCAUAUCAAUAAAAAAGAUUGCGACCUCGAUGUUGGAUUAA
Molecule: ribosomal RNA, 328 nt
Filed under: Dinera xuei
Lineage: Eukaryota; Metazoa; Arthropoda; Insecta; Diptera; Tachinidae
Description: partial 16S ribosomal RNA
Source: RNAcentral